AGUAAAUUCCAUCAACAUAUGAAUUUGGGGAUCAAAUUUCCAACACAGGAACUUUUGGAUGACACAUUCAAGCAACAGCUUAUGAUAUCCUGCCAUCCUCAAGCUUCCAGUUCAGGUAUCCAGGCCAGAGACAAAGGGCUCUCUGACUUGUUACUGCUUACCACCUGCCGCUCCCACAGCUGUGUGCAUCAACUCCGUGAAGACUCACAACAGCCCUGGGAGGCGGCUCUACAGUUUUAUCUUACUCAGAGACAAAGAAAGUGAACUAAGGAGAGAUUAAAUCACUCACUCAAGGUCAUAUGGCUAAUAAGUGAUGGUUAUGGUUUGAAUCAUAAAUGAACCCCAAAGCCACUGGUUGGUGAACAACUUUGCUUGUGCAACGUGCCCCUUCCAUGAUGUUCUGUCUUGACAACAUCCAAAAGCAACAGGCCAAACAACCACGGAUGAAACUCCUGUGAGACAAAAUCAACUUUUCCUCCUUACACAUGGAUUAUCUCAGUCAGUUCUCUCUGCCAGAGAAAGCCCAUUUAUCCUUUCAGGAGCGCUUCCCUGGUGCCACUUCUCCUGGGUUACACAAGAUACCUCUCCUCUGUGGCCUCAUGACACUCUGCUGCUGCUCUUGCCAAGAGAAUGGCAGCCAAUGUGACCAGCAGUGGGGUGAGCUAAGCAACGUACCGGAUAAUCAUAGGAGCGAUGGAGUCAGUCUGCUUGGAGUUGGCUUCGAAGGCAGCCUGUCUCUCAAGCACCAAGAGGUUACAAGUGACAGGAGGGCUUGUGCUCAGCCCAUCUAGUGACUCCAACUCCGAGGGCAGAAAUCGUGCCUAACCAUCUUCUGAGUCUAGCUCAGUACCUGGCGCACAGUAGGUGUGCAGCAAAUGCUAAGUAAAGGAGUGCAACGGAAACCUUCCCCCUAGGAUCCAGGCUGUUUGAGUCUAAGGACCGUGUAUUUUCUAACAGACGGGACCGUGAAGUGCUGGGCACAGAAGUGCUCACACACCUCUGCGGAAUAAAAGGUGUCACUAUUCCCAUUCUGCUCCCAAACUCAUCCGGACUCAAUGAACACCGCAACUGUCUUAUCACCAAUUCCUCCUGGCAGCUUCAGUUACUCUCUGCUCUGUUCAAGCCUCUGUAAACACG
Long non-coding RNA from Fukomys damarensis (Damara mole-rat), 1137 nucleotides. RefSeq lists it as uncharacterized. The transcript is spliced from 6 exons. The record is from RefSeq and is a predicted model, not a curated record. Lineage: Eukaryota; Metazoa; Chordata; Mammalia; Rodentia; Bathyergidae.